RNAcentral lists this ribosomal RNA (68 nucleotides) under Micromonospora zhanjiangensis. RNAcentral describes it as "partial 16S ribosomal RNA". It matches the Rfam family "Bacterial small subunit ribosomal RNA", at positions 1 to 68 of the family's 1533-position model. The record is from RNAcentral. RNAcentral also lists the same sequence under 1 other name. Lineage: Bacteria; Bacillati; Actinomycetota; Actinomycetes; Micromonosporales; Micromonosporaceae.
UUGUUGGAGAGUUUGAUCCUGGCUCAGGACGAACGCUGGCGGCGUGCUUAACACAUGCAAGUCGAGCG